RNAcentral lists this ribosomal RNA (500 nucleotides) under uncultured bacterium. RNAcentral describes it as "partial 16S ribosomal RNA". It matches the Rfam family "Bacterial small subunit ribosomal RNA", at positions 30 to 523 of the family's 1533-position model. The record is from RNAcentral.
AUUGAACGCUGGCGGCAGGCCUAACACAUGCAAGUCGAGCGGAUGAAGAGAGCUUGCUCUCUGAUUCAGCGGCGGACGGGUGAGUAAUGCCUAGGAAUCUGCCUGGUAGUGGGGGACAACGUUUCGAAAGGAACGCUAAUACCGCAUACGUCCUACGGGAGAAAGCAGGGGACCUUCGGGCCUUGCGCUAUCAGAUGAGCCUAGGUCGGAUUAGCUAGUAGGUGAGGUAAUGGCUCACCUAGGCGACGAUCCGUAACUGGUCUGAGAGGAUGAUAAGUCACACUGGAACUGAGACACGGUCCAGACUCCUACGGGAGGCAGCAAUGGGGAAUAUUGGACAAUGGGCGAAAGCCUGAUCCAGCCAUGCCGCGUGUGUGAAGAAGGUCUUCGGAUUGUAAAGCACUUUAAGUUGGGAGGAAGGGCAGUAAGUUAAUACCUUGCUGUUUUGACGUUACCAACAGAAUAAGCACCCGCUAACUUCGUGCCAGCCGCCGCAGUAA